CCUACGGGAGGCAGCAGUAAGGAAUAUUGGUCAAUGGAGGCAACUCUGAACCAGCCAUGCCGCGUGCAGGAAGAAGGCCCUAUGGGUCGUAAACUGCUUUUGUACCAGAGAAAACCCGAGUACGUGUACUCGGUUGAUAGUAUGGUAAGAAUAAGCAUCGGCUAACUUCGUGCCAGCAGCCGCGGUAAGACGAAGGAUGCAAGCGUUAUCCGGAUUCAUUGGGUUUAAAGGGUGCGUAGGCGGACUGAUAAGUCAGUGGUGAAAUCUCUCGGCUUAACCGAGAAACUGCCAUUGAUACUGUUAGUCUAGAGUAUAGAUGACGUUGGCGGAAUAUGACAUGUAGUGGUGAAAUACUUAGAUAUGUCAUAGAACACCGAUUGCGAAGGCAGCUAACGAAACUAUAACUGACGCUGAGGCACGAAAGUGCGGGGAUCAAACAGGAUUAGAUACCCUGGUAGUCCGCACCGUAAACGAUGAUUACUCGUUGUUGGCAAAUUAUGACCGUCAGCGACCGACGACGAACGACGAGUAAGUAAUACCACCGUACGGGUAGGUACGGACCCGGCCGGACCGGUACGGAACCGUAACCGAAACGUAAGUAAGUUAGUACGGACGUAGAGACGUUACGCCGACGGACGACCGACGAGGGAGGGAGGGAG
RNAcentral lists this ribosomal RNA (659 nucleotides) under uncultured bacterium. RNAcentral's name for it is "bacterial SSU rRNA". The stretch from base 1 to 543 matches the Rfam family "Bacterial small subunit ribosomal RNA", at positions 338 to 873 of the family's 1533-position model. The record is from RNAcentral.